This 464-nucleotide ribosomal RNA is filed under the name uncultured bacterium. RNAcentral's name for it is "partial 16S ribosomal RNA". It matches the Rfam family "Bacterial small subunit ribosomal RNA", at positions 28 to 507 of the family's 1533-position model. The record is from RNAcentral.
GACGAACGCUGGCGGCGUGCCUAACACAUGCAAGUCGAGCGAAUGAAGUUCCUUCGGGAAUGGAUUUAGCGGCGGACGGGUGAGUAACACGUGGGCAACCUGCCUCAUAGAGGGGCAUAGCCUCCCGAAAGGGAGCUUAAUACCGCAUAAGAUUGUAGUACCGCAUGAUACAGCAAUUAAAGGAGCAAUCCGCUAUGAGAUGGGCCCGCGGCGCAUUAGCUAGUUGGCGAGGUAAUGGCUCACCAAGGCGACGAUGCGUAGCCGGCCUGAGAGGGUGAUCGGCCACAUUGGGACUGAGACACGGCCCAGACUCCUACGGGAGGCAGCAGUGGGGAAUAGUGCACAAUGGGGGAAACCCUGAUGCAGCAACGCCGCGUGAGUGAUGACGGCCGGCGGGUUGUAAAGCGCUGUCUUCAGGGACGAUAAUGACGGUACCUGAGGAGGAAGCCACGGCUAACUACGUG